CUCUGCAGUUCGCAGAUGGCGUCUACCUGGUGCUGCUCAUGGGGCUGCUGGAAGAUUACUUCGUCCCCCUCCACAACUUCUACCUGACUCCCGACAGCUUUGAUCAGAAGGUCCACAACGUGGCCUUCGCCUUUGAGCUGAUGCUGGAAGGAGGCCUCAAGAAGCCCAAGGCUCGCCCGGAAGACGUGGUGAACCUGGACCUCAAGUCCACGCUGAGGGUUCUCUACAACCUGUUCUCCAAGUACAAGGACACGGAGUGACGGGCAGCCGGGCCGGGGUCCGGAUCCGCGUGUGGCCGCUGCGCCCCCCGAGAGCCACGCGCAAGCCACGCGGGAGAUGCGCCGGCCUUCGCCCC
Long non-coding RNA from Perognathus longimembris pacificus (Pacific pocket mouse), 355 nucleotides. RefSeq lists it as uncharacterized. Lineage: Eukaryota; Metazoa; Chordata; Mammalia; Rodentia; Heteromyidae. The record is from RefSeq and is a predicted model, not a curated record. The transcript has 3 exons.